Molecule: unclassified non-coding RNA, 18 nt
Filed under: Chlamydomonas reinhardtii
Lineage: Eukaryota; Viridiplantae; Chlorophyta; Chlorophyceae; Chlamydomonadales; Chlamydomonadaceae
Description: small RNA Cre_2222
Source: RNAcentral
UACGCCGCUGCCUGUCCU